This 484-nucleotide ribosomal RNA is filed under the name uncultured bacterium. RNAcentral's name for it is "partial 16S ribosomal RNA". It matches the Rfam family "Bacterial small subunit ribosomal RNA", at positions 30 to 507 of the family's 1533-position model. The record is from RNAcentral.
AUUGAACGCUGGCGGCAGGCCUAACUCAUGCAAGUCGAGCGGAUGAAGGGAGCUUGCUCCUGGAUUCAGCGGCGGACGGGUGAGUAAUGCCUAGGAAUCUACCUGGUAGUGGGGGAUAACGUCCGGAAACGGGCGCUAAUACCGCAUACGUCCUGAGGGAGAAAGUGGGGGAUCUUCGGACCUCACGCUAUCAGAUGAGCCUAGGUCGGAUUAGCUAGUUGGUGGGGUAAAGGCCUACCAAGGCGACGAUCCGUAACUGGUCUGAGAGGAUGAUCAGUCACACUGGAACUGAGACACGGUCCAGACUCCUACGGGAGGCAGCAGUGGGGAAUAUUGGACAAUGGGCGAAAGCCUGAUCCAGCCAUGCCGCGUGUGUGAAGAAGGUCUUCGGAUUGUAAAGCACUUUAAGUUGGGAGGAAGGGCAGUAAGUUAAUACCUUGCUGUUUUGACGUUACCAACAGAAUAAGCACCGGCUAACUUCGUG